GAAUUACUGGGCGUAAAGCGUGCGCAGGCGGUUGUGCAAGACAGAUGUGAAAUCCCCGGGCUCAACCUGGGAAUUGCAUUUGUGACUGCACAGCUAGAGUGUGUCAGAGGGGGGUAGAAUUCCACGUGUAGCAGUGAAAUGCGUAGAUAUGUGGAGGAAYACCGAUGGCGAAGGCAGCCCCCUGGGAUAACACUGACGCUCAUGCACGAAAGCGUGGGGAGCAAACAGGAUUAGAUACCCUGGUAGUCCACGCCCUAAACGAUGUCUACUAGUUGUCGGGUCUUAAUUGACUUGGUAACGCAGCUAACGCGUGAAGUAGACCGCCUGGGGAGUACGGUCGCAAGAUUAAAACUCAAAGGAAUUGACGG
RNAcentral lists this ribosomal RNA (368 nucleotides) under uncultured beta proteobacterium. RNAcentral describes it as "bacterial SSU rRNA". It matches the Rfam family "Bacterial small subunit ribosomal RNA", at positions 548 to 916 of the family's 1533-position model. The record is from RNAcentral. Lineage: Bacteria; Pseudomonadati; Pseudomonadota; Betaproteobacteria.